UGGGCGCAAGCCUGAUCCAGCCAUACCGCAUGGGUGAAGAAGGCCUUCGGGUUGUAAAGCCCUUUUGUUGGGAAAGAAAUCCAGCUGGCUAAUACCCGGUUGGGAUGACGGUACCCAAAGAAUAAGCACCGGCUAACUUCGUGCCAGCAGCCGCGGUAAU
RNAcentral lists this ribosomal RNA (160 nucleotides) under uncultured Stenotrophomonas sp. RNAcentral describes it as "partial 16S ribosomal RNA". It matches the Rfam family "Bacterial small subunit ribosomal RNA", at positions 372 to 524 of the family's 1533-position model. The record is from RNAcentral. Lineage: Bacteria; Pseudomonadati; Pseudomonadota; Gammaproteobacteria; Lysobacterales; Lysobacteraceae.